RNAcentral lists this ribosomal RNA (393 nucleotides) under uncultured bacterium. Its description in RNAcentral is "partial 16S ribosomal RNA". It matches the Rfam family "Bacterial small subunit ribosomal RNA", at positions 523 to 918 of the family's 1533-position model. The record is from RNAcentral.
AUACGGAAGGUCCGGGCGUUAUCCGGAUUUAUUGGGUUUAAAGGGAGCGUAGGCGGGAGAUCAAGUCAGCUGUGAAAUGUAGAUGCUCAACAUCUGCACUGCAGUUGAAACUGGUUUUCUUGAGUGCGUAAGGGGCAGGCGGAAUUCGUCGUGUUGCGGUGAAAUGCUUAGAUAUGACGAAGAACUCCGAUCGCGAAGGCAGCCUGCCGGGCCGCGACUGAUGCUGAAGCUCGAAGGUGCGGGUAUCGAACAGGAUUAGAUACCCUGGUAGUCCGCACAGUAAACGAUGGAUACUCGCUGUCGGCGAUAUACGGUCGGUGGCCAAGCGAAAGCGUUAAGUAUCCCACCUGGGGAGUACGCCGGCAACGGUGAAACUCAAAUGAAUUGACGGGG